UACGUAGGGGGCUAGCGUUGUCCGGAAUCAUUGGGCGUAAAGCGCGUGUAGGCGGUCCGGUAAGUCCGCUGUGAAAGUCGGGGGCUCAACCCUCGGAUGCCGGUGGAUACUGUCGGGCUCGAGUACGGAAGAGGCGAGUGGAAUUCCUGGUGUAGCGGUGAAAUGCGUAGAUAUCGGGAGGAACACCAGUGGCGAAGGCGACUUCCUGGCCUGUUCUUGACGCUGAGGCGCGAAAGCUAGGGGAGCAAACGGG
Molecule: ribosomal RNA, 253 nt
Filed under: uncultured bacterium
Lineage: Bacteria
Description: partial 16S ribosomal RNA
Rfam family: Bacterial small subunit ribosomal RNA
Source: RNAcentral